GCCGCAAUAGCUCAGCUGGGAGAGCGUUAGACUGAAGAUUCCGCGGACUUCGCGGCUCAUCACGUGAUCUACAGGUCACCCGUUCGAUCCGGGUUUGUGGCA
Non-coding RNA from Ceratobasidium sp. 395, 102 nucleotides. Lineage: Eukaryota; Fungi; Basidiomycota; Agaricomycetes; Cantharellales; Ceratobasidiaceae. The record is from the annotation of a GenBank genome assembly.